AGUCCAAUAGUUUAGCGGUUAUGACGUAUCCUUCACAUUGGAUUGUCCGGAUAAGACCCCGGUUCGAUUCCGGGUUGGACUA
This is a non-coding RNA of Malassezia arunalokei, 82 nucleotides long. The record is from the annotation of a GenBank genome assembly. Lineage: Eukaryota; Fungi; Basidiomycota; Malasseziomycetes; Malasseziales; Malasseziaceae.